This is a long non-coding RNA of Syngnathoides biaculeatus (alligator pipefish), 5223 nucleotides long. RefSeq lists it as uncharacterized. The transcript is spliced from 4 exons. Lineage: Eukaryota; Metazoa; Chordata; Actinopteri; Syngnathiformes; Syngnathidae. The record is from RefSeq and is a predicted model, not a curated record.
CAGAACAGACUUGUAAAAGCACAGGAGUGUCACUCAGACUGUAGGGACAUGUUGGGAGUACAGUUUCUCUCUUUCACUCAUCACUGAGCACACAUCAGUACUCGAUUUUAACUAGAAUGAGUCAUGCAAUGGUGGAUGGUUGCUUCUAUCUCACACACUGUUGAAACUAGAUAUGCUGUAUGAGAAGAUACUUUUUUCCUUCAGCCUAUCAAAAAAAUCGGACUAAUUUUCAAGUCAUACAGUAGGUACAUCUUCAACUGGCAUCACCAAGCAGCCAACCAGUUUUUUUUUUUUUUUGUCCAGAUUGCAGUCAUUAUUCUAGGAUUAUCAAAAUUAUUUCUAUUUGCUAAAUGUCAAAAUAAUGAGUGAAGGCAAUUUUUCAUUAAUUUCUUCAAAGUCAGAGUUUUCUGUACAUUAAGAUUACUGUACAAUUUGGGGAAACCCCAUCCAUCCAUUUUCUGAGCCACUUAACCUCACAAGGGUUGCGGAAGUGCUGUAGCCAAUCCCAGCUAUCUUUGAGCAGGAGGGCUGGGUAUACCCUAAAUUUGUUGCCAGCCAAUCGCGGUGAACAUAUAAACAACCAAUCCUUUGCACUCACAUUUAUACAAAUUUGGGGAAAAGAAACAGGUGUCAUUUUCUUGACUCCUUCUGAUUAGUAAAAAUAUUUGCGUUAGAGACAAACCUUUGGAUGUAUUUGAACAAACAACCACACACGCGAGGCACACUGCUUCUUUGGGUAACAUGGAAAAAUAAACAAAAUAAAAAAAUCUGCCAAGCUAUCAGGAAGAGAGUUUUGGACUUAAGAAGUCUGGUUUAUCCCUGUAUGCAAUUGACCCCUCUGUGGAAAUUGCGUCAUCCGUGUCGCUGACUAAUCAGAGGUCAGAGAUCUGCAUAAACCAUGACCCUUGUUGUCGUCUGCUAUUACCUCAGACAACGUUGCAUGGUCCAGUAUAGCUUUUGUUAGUGUUUUAUCGCGUAUUUGGGUUCUUUAACAAUAGAUAUGGUUAAGAGGUGUAGUCACGGACUUUGUAAUAGUGACGACAGGUAUCCUGAAAGGCUAGUUGGUGGAGUUCAAUUCGUACCUUUCCAAAACCGAAGACCCAGUAUGAAAAAUGUCUUCGAUGGAUCAAACUUUGUGGAAGACUGCAUGAUCAAUGGAAUCCAUCUAAAAUCAACCGGAACAGAAGACCGAGUACGAAAAAUGUCUUUGAUGGAUCAAACUUUGUGGAAGAUCGUAUGAUCAACUGAAUCCAUCUAAAAUCAACCGGAACAGAUAUGUUUGCACGAAGGUAAGCCCUAUAUUUGAUUUUCAAUACAUGUCUCAUAUAAAUGAAUUAGCAGUUCUUCGCUUGCAUAACAUAGCUACGUGUGAAUGAUUGACACACUUGAUCUGUGUUGAGCGAUAUUUUUUUACAUUUUCGCUCUAGUCUUUUUUUCCUGCGCUGCCAUUUUUGCUAAUUGUUUGUCUGAGGUUAGCACACGUGGGGUGACGUAACUUCAGGAGGCGUGGUUAAGUGCCCUGUAUGGAGGGGUCAAUUCCUAGAUCGCUGAAGGUGCAACAUUCAUCUCUUUAAGCAAUUACAGUGCAGAAAAUCAUUUCUCAAAUAAUUCACAAAUUUUUCCAAAAAUAUUUUCAAAAAAUUAAUAGAGCACGUUAUAUUUAGGUAUGGAUUAAAAAUAAAAUCACAUUGUGUAGUCGAAUACAGGUACAUAGCGUGGUAAAAAAUUCAUACAUAUAUAUUUCGAUAUGAUAUUCGAUGUCUUAUGGUACACAUUUAUAUUUAUUAGGGUAAUGUGCGCCCCAAACCUGAGCUCUCUGCGCUCCUCAGGAAGCUUGCAUUUUAUGAUCUUUAGCGUAGCAUGCUUGUUGCUACUGCACCAAAGAUCAGAAACAACUGCCUGCCGAUGAUGGCGCAAACCCGGAAGUAGCGCGGAAGUCCAAAACAACAAUACCUCGCCUCAGUGGCUUCAGUUACAGAAUGGAGCCGAUUGGAGGGGGAGAGGCUGCGCUGUGCAACCCAAACUCUUGGGAUUAAAAAAAAUCUUUCCUCACAAAACGUCGUGGAUGGCAAAGCGAAUGACAUGCGGUGGGAGCAAGAUGGGAUGUUCAUGAUGCAAUGCAAGAGGCACCGGAACUGCACCAAGUCAUCAAUGAUGAGUUCCACAGCAAUGCACCAAAGGGACCAGGACAAGCAUGUCCUGUGGCUAGUCCCGAGAUAUACAUGGUGACCCAAAAAGAUACGUACCCAUGAAAAUUUCAAUUGUGGCUUUGAUUACAACGCUAUUUAUUUCAAAUUACAACCACACAUUAUUCAGUUUAUGGAAGACCAUUCACCAGAGUUUCAGCUAUUUGUCAAUUUUUAGUCAAUUUAUGGCUUUCCCAAGAUGUGUUCCAAAUGUCCACCAUUUCGUUGCAAUCAAACCUGUACUCGUCUGGCAAAGUUUUGAAUCACUUUUAUACACUCCUUUCGCAACUAAAAAUCGUUGAUUUUGAUGGAAAGUUGCGACAAUGGAAACGCUUUCGAAACUGAAUCUGUACACUCUGGUAUGAUUUUGUCGCAAAAUAGGUCUCCAGGGAGAAUAUCUUCUGCUGAUUUGUCCAAGACAUUUUCGGGGCAACUAUAGCUGCAAAUGAUCAUCCAUAGGUUCACCUUUCACGUCCUGCAACAGAAAAGACAUUCGUUAAAAAAUUGAUUUUUUAUCGAAUAAAGUAUGGGUACGCAUCUUCGAGAAAUUACAGUAAGUAUUUAAACACCCUGCUAUAUCGCAAGUUCUCCCACUUAGAAAUCAUGGAGGGGUCUGAAAAUUUCAUCGUAGGUGGAUGUGCAAUGUAAAAAAAAUUAAAUAAAAUCCAGAAAUCAAAAUGUAGGAUUUUUUUUUAACGAUUUAUUCGUGUGAUAGAGAUGCAAAUAGGUAUUUCAACCCUUGUCUAGCAGUUAUAAUUCUGACCCUCAAAGACCUGUUAGUCCACAUUUAAAAGUCCACCUCCACUCAUGUAUUAUCCUGAAUCAGAUUCACCUGUAUGAGGUCGUUAGCUGCAUAAAGACAGCUGUCAACCCUAUACAAUCUGUAACACUCAAACCUUUAACAUGGACCAAGACCAAAGAACUCUCCAAAGACACCAGAGACAAAAUUGUACAACUCCACACGGCUGGAAAGGGCUACGGAGAAAUUGCCAAGCAGCUUGGUGAAAAAAGAUCCACUUUUGGAGGAAUCAUUAGAAAAUGGAAGAACCUAAACAAUCAGUCUCAAUCGGAGUGGAGCCCCAUGCAAGAUAUCACCUGGUGGGGUCUCAAUGAUUCUUGGAAAAGUGAGGAAUCAGCCCAGUACUACGCGACAGGACCUGGUCAAUGACCUGAAAAGAGCUGGGACCACAGUUUCCUGGGUGACUGUUAGUAAUACACUAAGACGUCAUGGUUUGAAAUCAUGCAUGGCAUGGAAGGUUCCCCUGCUUAAACCAGGACAUGUCAAAAGCCCGUCUUAAGUUUGCCAAUGACCAUUUGGAUGAAACAGAGAAGUCAUGGGAGAACGUUUGUGGUCAGAUGAGACCAAAAUGGAACUUUUUGGUCAUAAUUCCACGAACCGUGUUUGGAGGAAGACGCAUGAUGAGUUCCAUUGCAAGAACACCAUCCCUACUGUGAAGCAUGGGGGUGGUAGCAUCAUGCUCUGGGGGUGUUUUUCUGCACAUGGGACAGGGCGACUGCACUGCAUUAAGGAAAGGGUGACUGCGGCCAUGUAUUGUGAGAUUUUGGGGAACAACCUCUUUCCCUCAGUCAGAGCGUUGAAGUUGGGUCGUGGCUGGGUCUUUCAACAUAACAAUGACUCGAAGCACACAGCAAGAAAAACCAAGGAGUGGCUCGUAAGACGCAUAUCACACAAAUAAAUUGUUGAAAAAUAAUAUAUUGUGAUUUCUGGAUUUUUCUUUUUAGAUUAACUCUCCCACAGUAGACAUGCACCUACAAUGAAAAUUUCAGACCCCUCCAUGAUUUCUAAGUUGGAGAACUUGCAAUCUAGCAGGGUGUUCAAAUACUUAUGUUCUUCACUGUACAUGCAAGUGUCAAGACCAUGGAAAUGUCCAACAAUCAUACUGCUCAGGAAGGAGACUGGUUCUUUGCCCUACAUAUUGAAAUACUUUGAUAUGAAAUCUGCAUAUCAGCCUAAGAACAAAAGUAAAACACCUUUUGAAGAUGUCGUCUGAAGCUGGUGAGUACGUCAUCCACAGUAAAACAAGCAUUGUACCAAUAUGGGUGGGUAGGCCGCUCUGCCAGGAAGAAGCCAUUACUCCAAAACAAAUAAAAAAGCAAGAUUACAAAUGCUCACAUGGACAAAGAUCUUAAUUUUUUGAGUCAUGUCCCGUGGUCUGACCAAACUAAAAUUAAAGUUUGGCCAAAAUGAGGAUGUGUAUAUUUGAAGGAGAAAGCGGGAAACCCACAAGCCUGACUGAGAUGACCAGCUUUCUAACUUUGAAAGAGUGUGUGAGAGCACAAUUUUGUUGGGUUGUUUCGCAUAGGAGGGACUGGUGCACUUCACAAAAUAGAUUCCAUCCUGAGAAAAGAACAUUAUGUGGAAAUACUUAAUAUCUUAAGUCAUCAUUCAGGAUGUUAAAGGUUGGGCACAAAUGGAUCUUCCUGAUGGACAAUGACCAGAAAAGCAUACUGACAAACUUGAAUCAGUUACACUUCUGUCAGGGCUAAUGGGCCACAAUUCCUGCCAAUUAUUGUGGGAACCUUGUGGAAGGAUAUCCAAAAUGUUUGCCUGAAGUCAGAAAGUUUCAAGACAUUAGUACAAAAUACCGAUUAAAACAUGAUUUUGAAGAAAAUAAUCCGAAAUUUUCUUGAAAAACAUUCUUCGGUUAUGUUUUUGGUCAAACAUAUUGGAAUCCCAUUUCAACUUAAGUAGGAAAUGUUGAGUCGGUUGGAAAAUUCUUAUAUAUACAAGUGCAAAGAUACAGAGGAUUUACAGCAUUCUUAUACUAUCACAAGGAUCAUCACAAAAGUAUGAAAGGAAAAUAAAGAGCAUCACAAAAUAUCUGUAUCAUAAUGACAAAACCAAUUCUAGCUGGUAGUAACUAGCACAUUCCUACAUUCUGGUCUCGAGUAAACAGUUCAGCAAAGUUAACUUAAGGGUAACUGAUGAGUUGGCAUGCUUCAAACAUCUGAUUACAAUCCAGUUUAUAACUUAUCGUAUGAGCGAGUUAUACAGUCAUGACUAAAUAUGAGCAGA